UUUAAGAAAAGACCAAAAAUAAAAAGAGAAAAGUAAAGUAACGUUGCUCGUAUGCAGGACACUUUUUUAUCAUUCUGCCUUGAUUUGUGAAAUAUGAAUAAAGACAAUAAUGCAAGUCAAUGAAACGGCAUUCCAACGCCAUGUUAUCCAGAGUUCACCACACGAUAUUCAAAACUUUCUUGCAAUUGUUAUGUCCCAUACACUAUAAAAACAUGUUGUCAUGACAUAAUAGCAACAUUACAUGUACACGCAUAAACAAACUGGUAAUAAUCUUAAAAACACAUGAAAGUAGCUAAAAAUAAAUCUCAUUUUUGGCAGUAUAUAAACUUAAUGUUGGCCACACUAUAAGAUGUGAAAGCACUGUUUACUAUAAAACACGAGGUCAUUGAACUGCAAGAAUGGCACUGAAAUCUAUAUGCGAGAGACAUAAUAAACUAAAAUCUGAUGUCGGAGACUACAUUUCGCAAAUAGUUGAAGCUGAGCAGAAUAAACAAAUUGUUGAAAGACUGAAAGCCGUUCUUCAUCCUAAAGAGAGAAUAACUGUCAAAAGCAUUAGUGAUAUUUUUGACUUGCUGGAAAAGAAAGGAAUUAUGGGUACCGGGAAUUAUGAAUAUUUGAAAACCGUUAUUGAAGAGUUUGAUUUCCGAAUUGUGGAGGAUAUAAUUGAACCAGCCGAGCGAGAAAUCCGAGAUUUAAAGAAACAAUGAAACGACGGUUCAAAAAGAUAUUGCGAUUGGAAAAAAGUCACGGAAGGAACUGGAAGCAUUAAAACACAAUCUCGAUGCAUCGUUACAAAAGCAUCAACCAUUUAAAUGUUUUAAGCAAGAUUUACUUUAUCUGUGUUUAUAAUGUCUUGCUAUGUUAGCAAACAAAUACAAGAAUAGAUCAACAUUUACUUAAGCUUGCCCUUUUAAAAUGGAAAAGAUAUUUAAGAAAUAAUUCAUGGGGGCUUGAAUAUAUCGUGAUUAUACCACGGGUUGGCCCUUUAUGACAAAUAUUUCACCCUGAGCGAUAGCGAGGGGUAAAAUAUCGGCAUAAAUCACGAUAUAUUCAAGCCACCAUGAGUUAUUUCGAUUCUAAUAGGACAAAUAAGGCAAUUCGUUUGGAUCGAAGCGCUCUAGGUGAAGGCAUUAUUUGCCGUUCCCAUAAAUAAACGCACUAUUAAAUUGACGUAAAAGAACGGAGCAAACUGAAUAAAUGGCAUGCUUAAACUAUUUACAAUGACAUAUUUAGAUAGGUUUGGAUGAAUCUAAAUAAUAAUUGUAUUUAUAUGUCUUAUAAAUAUGUAAACAAAAAACGGCUUAUAUAACACAUUUUAGCAUCAUUUGUUUACGUUUCCUUGUUGUGAUGAUUUUCGGUUUCACAAGCGUGUAUUUUCCCGUAAAAUGCUUAUAUUCUUACGUCAUCAUUCUAUGACGUCGGGUAGCUCAUUCAUAAAAAAGCGUAUGACGCGGGAGUACGAUCGGGACAGCCCAAACAAUAUAUUCAUAUUUUACCACGGGUGUGUACUCAAAGCGUUUGAAGAACGUCAUGUUAGAAUCAUCUAUAAUACAUGUAUAACAUCUUUUCAAUAAAAUUCAAUUAAACUA
Mytilus californianus (California mussel) is the source of this 1589-nucleotide long non-coding RNA. RefSeq lists it as uncharacterized. NCBI's taxonomy places the organism in Eukaryota, Metazoa, Mollusca, Bivalvia, Mytilida, Mytilidae. The transcript has 2 exons. The record is from RefSeq and is a predicted model, not a curated record.